This 1918-nucleotide long non-coding RNA is filed under the name Homo sapiens (human). RNAcentral describes it as "HSALNT0051645". The record is from RNAcentral. Lineage: Eukaryota; Metazoa; Chordata; Mammalia; Primates; Hominidae.
UAUAUACAGAAAGAGAAUUUAAAUUUUUUUAAAGAACUCAUAUAGUAUCAGUGAUAUCUUUGGUAGGAUAAAAGGUAACUUUUAUUUUCUUUUUUAUCUUUGUACAUUUUCCAACUAUUCUUUGAUAAACAUGUAUUACAUUUGUAAUCAGUCAAAAAUAAAUACUAUCCAAAAAAAAGUAAGGUCAGAAGAAACUGGAAAACAUGAGCUUAAAAUCAGCCAACAUUUUAUGCUUACCAUAGCAUUUGCUGCACCAUAUUGACACCUACCAAUCAGAAAUAGACUAUAUACUUUCUGCAUCCCAGGUAUAAUAGGAUGGUGACUCUGGAUUGUAUUGAGUCUGUUCUCUAAACUCUUAAGGAUGUAGCCAGUUUUCAGAAUGUAGCAUAGAACUGCACUUCUGACCUAAAACCCAUAAAAACAGUGAAUUAAGCACUUAAUUUACCACUUACAAGUCUAGCCCCCUCUUAACAUCCCUUUCCAGGCCUCUCUCUUAGGAAGGAGCCUCACAUUUUCUUGUAGAAACUGGAAUGACACUCUGGCCCCAGCUCCCACUCCCCUCCAUGACGGGCAUGACUUAUCUGAUCAGAGAGUUAGGAGAGGCUCUUUUGGAGCCAGCCUGUCCAGAGGACAAGCAUUCCACUCUGCUCUCUGCCUUGGGGGAUUGUGCCCAACUCCCGCAUCAUGGGGGAUGCCUGCGGUUGACCAGCUGUGCCAGUGACUGCAGGAACUGCCCUCUUCACCUUUGGAUGCCUAUCCCAAGGCCUUGUGGAGACCACAGACUCCAUAACACAUAUUGACUGGAAUCAGAAAGAGGAGAGAGGAAAGGAUCUGCAAAGAAAAAGAGAAAUGUAGAUUGAGCAAAAAGGAAAUAACUUUCCUUUCACCCCAGAAUCCUCUGGUUUUUUCUCCUCUCUAUCCCUGCUUAUGCAAAAAUAAUUGGCUUCCAUUUGAGCUGUGCCAUUUUCAAGCCAUGUGACCUUCACCAAGUUAUCAAAACUUCCUGAACCUGUUCCCCCACUUUGCAAAAAGUUAGAUGUGGUGAGUCUGAACUAAGGAGGUGUUUAUGAAAGCAUUGGUUAAAUAAUAAUCUCUCAAAGAAGCCUAGCUUUCCUUCUUAAGGCCAAGAAUUGCAAUUGUGUGGUAAGGACACAGAGCAGGCAUAAACAUAGUUUGGCAGUUUAAGACCACACAGAUCCACUUAGGAAAAGGAGUGGUUUCUUGAGGGCACAAAAGCUGCAGACAUUAUGUGUCAAUGUGUCAACGGGACUCAGGUUCAGGAGCAGAUUCAGAUCUGUAAGGCCUUAAAACUUAAACAAUUUGGAGGUGUGAGGUAAGGCUCAUUAAGAAAAGAAUUCUUUCACAAAUUUUGCAAAAAGAUAUAACCUUGUGAACUCAGUGUUAGGGCCCUCCUGGGACUUACAAGGGGCCUGCGCAAGUGGGAGCCCUGAAGCUUAAGCUUCAUCAGCUUCAUGAUAUCUCCAUCUCUGGCCGGGUCUCAAGACAAAAUUGGGAGGUCUGAAGCAGAUGAUACAGACUGGCAGCUAGAUUGGACAGCAAUAAAAAGAAUUCAAUGUGGCCCAUAUCCUUUUUUUCAUCUUCCCUUUGGUCUUGCCUAAAUGGAGGUUUCCCUUCUCCUUUUCUAGAAAGGUCUCUGAGUGUGGGUGAAUUCUUUUUCCUUCACCUGUCUCCAGUCAGAUCACAUCACUGUACUCACUCAUCACCUCCUUAAAUCCCCAGGGGCAGCACUCUUUCUUGGCUGCUUCCUGACUGAUUUGACUCCAGAUUCUGCUCAAACUUGUCCCCAUGCCUGUGGCUAGAAAAGCGGCCAGAAACCAAGAGCCCCAUGUUUUGCUCCCCUAGUAGACAAGGACUCCUUGAAUCCCUAGGUCAAACCGCUGGGGCCUCUGGGUCUUGA